UUUAUGCUGCUUUCUCUUUUCAUUAAGAAUAAAACAUUAUAAAUACAAGGUCUUCAUAUAUUAUGACUGACUUAGCACAUAUAUGAUAAAUACUGCACUAUUAUGACAGGGAGGAUCACCUUUCCCAAAUUUUAACCAAUGGGUCAAUGGAAAGUAUUUUCCUCACAAUUUUGUUUCAUCUGUGUUAUGUAUAUUCUUAAAAGAUAGGCUGCUAAUCAACAUUCAUUGAGUAUUCACUCUAUAAUGAGCAAAAUGCUAAGCAAUAUUUUAAUACAAUUUAUAGUUUAUUAUUUCACCAUUCUGUGUUACUUUUACCUGGGUAUCUUAUCCAAUUACUUAUAUUUAUUUACUCACUGAUAUACACCCAAGUGAAUAAAAUGUCCCACAGAUUUUUAUGCCCAAUGUGUGUGAUUCUUCCUUCCACUUGAGAUAUGUGGCACUAAGAGACCAUAAAGCUUAACACUUUAAGGACACUCACUUCUUAAAUACUUAGCUGUGGUACCAAUUUCUGUCUAUCUAGGAGUAAAAUACAAAACAGUAGCAAUCAGACUCUUCUCUGAUAUCUGCUCCAUCUAAAGAGAAAGGGAAAUGGCUGCACUGAAGAUCCAGGCAGCCCAUUACUUUUUAAUAGGUAGAGGGCUAUUUUGGGUAUCCACAGACGUCUUUAUUUACAAUUAUUAAGAAUUAUUUUGGAUUUAUCCAACCACUUGUACUGUAUUUACAGAUAUUGAAUGAAAUGCAAAUAUAGCCAGAACAAAGUGAGUUUCAAUAGAAAUUAUUUAAAAUCAAAGAUGUUUGGUUCUACAUAAAUUUGUUUAAAAAGCAUCUGAUGAUGAUUUCUAGAACUGAAUUUAUGAGCUUUUAACUCUAACUGUUCAAUGCUUAUAGAUCACAGCUCUCCCAUUGUGGAUUCUACCUGCUAAUUAGUACAUAAAUUUAUAAUUGCACAGUUCUUUGGAAUCUUUUCACCAAAGGCAGUCAUUACCAGCAACUUAAAAUAUAGCAAAAACCAUAUAUCUGAAAAUCUGAGUAUAAAUUUACUUUCUGCCUCAAUUGAAGUUUAGUUCAGGUGUCUAAUGUCCUUUGACUCAGUUGUAAAGAGAUUAUCCCUCUACCAUCCACAAAAAAUGACAAGGUAUCCUUUUUAAAUUCUAUUUCUGCUUAGCUAAAUACUUGCAUCUCAGGUAAUUAAUUUGUACUGUGAAGUCCUUUCUUUCUUUUUCUUUAAACUAGAGAAUUUUUUUUUUGCUUUUGGUGGUAUCAGUGGCAUUUGUUUCUUUGUAUUAUUUUAUGAUAAGCAGACUUUAUUUUUAUCCCAAUAAUAACAAUGAUUGGGCUGGCUGGGUGGUGCAGUGGUUGCAUGUGCAUGUUCUGCUUUGGCAGCCCAGGGUUCACUGGUUCGGAUCUUGGGUGUGGACAUGGCACUGCUUGUCAAGCCAUGCUGUGGCAGGCACCCCACAUAUAAAGUAGAGGAAGAUGGGCAUGGAUGUUAGCUCAGGGCCUGAAAUUAGAAGUAUACAGGUUAAAUAACAACCUGACUAGAAAUGUCUUCCUUAUCUGAAGUAAAACUUUCCCAGCAACUGAGGCUAGCAAUUCAAAGCAUAUACAAUCUUUCUGUCUGCAUGCUCCUCUGCUUACACUCCCCUUUUCUCAGGACUUAAGAGUAACCCCAUUCCUGGAAGCCUGGAUAUACAACAAAAUGGUAGAGUUAUUGUGUACUGAAGCUGGCUGGUAACGAAGAGGAAAAACCUCUGUGUCUGCAGACAAGCUUCCUGGCAGCAGAAUCCACUAUCCACCAGGGAGGCAGACAACCAAGGACAUCUGCCUGUGGAUUCCCUUAUCUCACCAUCCUUUUCCCUGAAAACAGCCUCAUAAAGCCAAACACAGCCCAUGGGAAAGUGCCAACCAGCAAGGCCACAGGUUCCCCUUCCCUACAAGCAGCCACAUUCCUCAUAACCUUUAAAACUCAUUACUCACUUUUUCAUGGGGAACCAGCAGUUCCUAAGGCACUAUCCUGCUGCUGCUUCCUUUGCCUAACAAAAAAAUAUAAAGCUUUUUCCUUUUCAUUUUCACCCAAAAUUCUGUUCUCAUUAUUUGGAUUGUUUCCAAGUUCAGAGACCAAACUUCCAGUAAUAAACCUGGCCAUCCAGAUGGGACCCAUGGGUGGUCCCCACUGAGACCUCCUCAGCUUAAUCAGACACUACCGAGUCAAUCUCCAUGCCUGUCCAAAUUGGGGAAGUGGAGGUUUGAAGAAAAGCUCAGGGAGGCCACAUCCCUGAGGCCCAGUGCUUGGUUGUUUGGACCCUCGGUCAAACCCAGGUCUGCUCCCUUGGCUGGACUCUGCGCAGUACCUGGGAUGGUUGGUGAGAUUGCCCGAGCAGCUGGCAAAGCCAGUUUUGCUUCGGGGACUUUCUCUCCCACUCCCUUCCAUUGGCAGCCGUUCAGACCUCCGGCUACCAGGGAAACCACCUUGCAGAAAAGGAAAGCAGCUGGAAGAAAAGUUGCGAUGCCCCAGCCAGAUUGGGUAAGUCCUCUAGUGUGCACAGGGAGAUUUCUUUGUCCUUGCUCAUUUGAGAAGAUCCAUGAGGUAGAUCUUCAUUUGUUGCAUGCAACUGAGUUUAGGACACGGACUAAGUGGGACUAGAAACAGAAGUUUUGGUUUUUGGUUUUGGUUUCUUUGUUCUAGCUUACAUUAGCUGGCUGAGGGUUUUUUAGGAAAGCAUGCUUCUUUGGUGUUUGGUUGCUAUUUGUCUGUUUGUCAAAGGUGUUAAUAUGGGAGGUGCCGCAUCUAUUCCAACUAAGAGCCUCUUGGGGAAGAUUUUGGCUGAUUGACCUACUGUUAUAAGCCAAUGACUAAGAAACAAAUCAUAUUUUAUUGUAACACUGCCUUGCCAAUGUAUGUCUUAGAAAGUGAAGGAAGAUGGCCAUUGAAGGGAACUUUAAAUUAUUAGACUAUUUCGUACUUGGAGUUAUUUUGUGAGAGAUCUGGGAAAUGGGAUGAGAUUCCAUAAGUGCAGGAUUUUAUGCAAUUGCACAAUCAGGAAGGUGAUCAGCUAGGAACCAAACUGAUGGUCCAAAGAAAAGCCAAGCCUCCCAUGGUCAAAGAUGCUCAGACACUGGAAGAAAACCUUGAUGAGGACAUGGCUGCCUUAAGUGUGUUCAAUCCUUUUGAUCCUAAUUUCAGUGUAGCACAGCUGCUGAUAGCAAGUGCUCCCAACACCCCGCAGCAAUCCCAGGCAAUGGGAAGUGGAAGGGAACCCCGCAGCAAUAGCCCCCUUUGUCUCCACCCUUACUGAAUGAAGAGGCAGUGGGGUGGGCUGAACCCCCCAAGGAUCCCCCUAGGUAUGAGUCAGGAGCAGGAAUCCUCUCCCCUUUAAGGACCCGACAAGGUACUGUUUUCUGCCAGGGAUCCUCUGGGAUGGGGACAGGGCAAUUCCCUCUGUGCCAGUUGCCUGUAGGAACAAAUGGCCAGGGGCAAUUGGCUGUCUACUAUUGGAUGUAUACCCUUUUUUCAACUUCUGAUUUGCUGAAUUGGAAAAGCCAAGACCUGUCCUACUGGAAGAACCAACAAAAGAUGACAGAUGUGUUUACAGUCAUUUUCUCUAUCCACUGCCCUACUUUGGUAGGUGUUCAGUCCUUGUUGAGCACAAUGCUUAUGGGCAAGAAGCAGUGCCUUGUGGUAAUAAAAAUUAAAGCAAAAGCUCAGCAUUUACAUGAUGUGGAUCCCAAUCAGAUUCCCACUCCUGUGUGGCCAUAGCCCAAGUAGAGCCUAAUUGGGACCCAAACACAGAUGUGAGGAAUGCAUUAUUGAGCCAUUACCAGAGGUGCAUCCUGGCUGGAUGUAAAAAAGGAGUUCUCAAAGGAGCUUAAAUAAGGUUCAGGAACUACAGCAAGAACUGGGAGAAAAUCCUGUGGUGUUCUUAGAAUGCAUAUAUCAGGCAUAUAGAAAAUAUACUGACUCAGAUCCAGAAGCCCCCCAAAACCUCCAAAUGGUCAACAUGACCUUUAUUGGACAGAGAGUCCCAGACAUGAGAAGGAAGCUCAAUAAGGUUGAAGGGGCCAUAGCCAUGAGUUCUAGCCAAUUGGUAGCAACUGCUUUCAAAGUCUAUAACGUUCAAGAGGAACACAAAGCCAAGUCAGUCAAGUUGUUUUACACUGCUCCUCCAGACAGAAGGAAAAGAAAAUGGAGUCCAAGGCCUGGGAAAAAGGGACACCAAAAAUUGGAGAAAAAUCAAUGCACCUAUUGCAAAGAAGAGGGGCAAUGGAAAAAUGAGUGCCGUAAGCUAGAAAAAGGCACCAAAGAGGGAAAGCAGGGUCCCACGAAGAAGCUCAUGACCUCCCAAGUUUGAGACUCAGAGGAGGAAGAUGAUGAUUGAUGGGUCCUGGGGUUCCUUGCCAUGCUUGCUGCUCCCAUUUCAAUAGUCCUCCACGAACCCCGGGUACAAAUAACAGUGGGGACCAAAGUGGUUGACUUUCUAGUGGAUACUGGUGCCACUUAUUCAGUGUUAAACUGCAAAUUGACGUCACUGAGUAAUUCCCCAGUUGCCAUUGUUGGAGUCACUGGUGAAACUCAACAGAGACCCACGCUGCAAUGGCUGGAAUGCAAAUUGGGAGAACAAAAGCUGAAACAUAGCUUUUUCUAUAUACUAGACUGUCCCAUCACCCUUUUUGGACAAGAUUUGCUUUGCAUAUUGAAUGCUCAAUCUUCUCACCCAAGAAGCAGCAGCUCCACCUCCAAGGGCCACUGGAAAAUGCACUCAGACUCCAGGCCUUCCUGGAAAGAACAGAAGAAGGGGAACACCUAACACUGCCCGAGAUCUACCAGCAAGUGAGUACUGGUGUCUGGCUGAUGGGGUCCCUGGGCACGCUCCAUUUGCCACUGUAAUAAGAAUUGAACUGAAGGAAGGCACCCCUUGUCCAAGAAAGAAAUAAUAUCUCCUGAACAAAGAGGACUUGAGAGUAGCCAACUGAUUUUGCAAAGAUUUUUGCAGCACAGGCUAAUAAGGCCCUGCCGAUCACCAUACAACAAGCCCAUUUUACCAGUAAAAAAACCCCACACUCAGAUGAGUACUAGUUUGUGCAAGAUUUAAGGGCCAUUAACGACAUUGUACAGAAUACAUAUCCAACAAUACCAAACCCCUAUAUGCUGGUAACUACAGUACCAGGGGAAUACGUCUGGUUCUCAGUACUGGACGUUAAAGAUGCUUUCUUUUGCAUUCCGUUGGAAAGAAAGUCUCAACUAUUGUUUGCCUUUGAGUGGCAAGACCCAGAUACAUGGGUCACCAAUCAAUAUUGUUGGACUGUGUAGCCUCAGGGAUUUAAGAACUUUCCUACACUGUUUAGUGAAACCCUGGCAAAAGACUUGAGAGGACUCCAACUCAACCAAGGAACAUUACUACAAUAUAUUGAUGAUUUGCUGAUAGCAAGUCCUAGUUACCAAUAAUACCCUUGCUUGGUGUGGCUACAACUUGUCCCCAAAGAAGGCCCAGAUUUUUAAACAACAGGUGGCCUAUUUGGGUUUCCAAAUAAGCCAAGACACCUGUAACUUGAUGUCUGACUGAUGACAGGCAAUUUUACAGGUAAGAUGCCCUCAGAACUGAAAACAAUUAUGAGGAUGUUUAGGCAUGGGAGGGUUCUCGCGGAUCUGAAUUCCCAAUUUUGGACUAAUAGCUAAACCACCGUAUGAUGCUUUAAAGGGAAAAGAAACAGAUCCCCUCAUAUGGUCAGGAGAACACCAAAAGGCGUUUGAGACCUUGAAGCAGGAGUUAUUGACUGCAUCGGCCUUGGGCCUCCCAGAUCUAAAGAAAGAAUUUAAACUCUAUGUACAUGAAAGGCAGGGAAUAGCUCUGGGAGUUUUGACACAGUCUGGGAGAGGUGCCCAGACCAGUGGCCUACUUAUCUAAACAAUUGUAUCACACUGCCAAAGGAUGGCCUCCAUGCCUGUGGGCUAUAGCAGCCACCUGUGACUUGCUCAGGAAGCAGAAAAAUUUACCUUGGGACAGCCUACCGUGGUAUAUGUUCCCCAUCAAGUGCUCAUGUUCCUUGAACAAAAAAGGGGCAUAUUGGUUAACUGCUGGAAAGAUGGGCAGAUACUGAGCUAUUUUGAUAGACAAUCCUAACAUCACCUUAAGGACCGUAACAAUCUUGAACCCUGCCACCUUACUUCUGAACUCUGAAAAUGUUUCAACUUUCACAACUGUCUAGAGGUUAUAGAAACUGUGUGUUCAAGCUGAUUAGACUUGUCAGAUGAGCCCCUUACAAAUCCAGAUUGGGAUCUAUUCACCGAUGGCAGCAGCUUUAUAAAUGAUGGACAGAGACGAGCAGGUUAUGCAGUGGUGACUAAAGGAGAGGUUAUCGAGAUACAGGCGCUCUCUCUGGGAACUUUGGCACAAAAAGCAGAAUUGAUUGCCCUCACGAGGGCCUUACAACUGUCAAAAGGGAAAAAGGUGAAUAUAUACACUGAUUCAAAGUAUGCAUUCAUGGUGGCCCAUGCUCAUGGAGCCACGUGGAAAGAAACGGGGCUACUAACUGCAGGAAAUAAAGAAAUAAAAUAUGCUUUAGAAAUAUUAACUCUGCUACAAGUAGUAACAGAGCUAAAAUCAGUCACCAUUAUGCACUUCCCAGGCCAUCAAAACACUGACUCCUAUAUAGCUUCUGGAAAUCGAAUGGCAGAGAAGGCAGCGAAGAAAGCUGCCAAAGGACCUAAAUUUUGGGGGACCCUCAUCGCACAAUUAGACCUAAAUCAAUAUGACCCCUCUUAGAUGGAGGAGGACCUAAAGAGGGCACAAUAAUGGGGUUUUGAUGACUGGGAUCCUCCUCAUAAAUGGAAAAUAAACCUUCAUGGGCUCAUUCUACUCCCUGAGGCUCUGGUGUGGCCCUUGAUAAAAUACUUGCAUGAAUGUACCCAUUAUGGAAGAGAUGCCUUAGUAGACUUCAUACAGCCUCACCUUAGAGGGCCCACGAUGCAUCAACUGGCUUGGAAGUCCUCCCACUCCUGCCCGAUAUGUGCUAUAAACAACCCAAAGAUGAAAAGACAACACCCACAGAACGGAACUCAAUAUUCCAAAGAACAACCUUGUAAGGACUGGCAAGUGGACUUUACACAAAUGCCUAAGACAACUGGAAAUUCUAAAUCCUUAUUAGCAUUUAUAAACACCUUUUCAGGGUGGUAUUACCCACCAGAACUGAGAUAACCACUGAGGUAGCCAAGUGCUUGCUAAAAGAUAUUAUUCCUAGGUUUGGACUGCCAUCCAGUGUCCAGAGUGAUAAUGGACUUGUCUUUGUAGCUGAAGUUAUACAACAAGUUGCCUCCCCACCUUGAAACUUCACUGAAUCCAUUCCAAGCAGGAGAUAAGGUGCUUCUGAAGGUGUGGAAGGAAAAAGGACCAGAACAACAACUUGAAGAAAAGUUGAAAGGAUCCUAGGAUGUGUUAUUAACCACCCAUACAUCCUUUAAGUUGACAGAUAUAAGACUGUGGGUGCACCACACUAGAGUAAAGAAGUGCCAGACGAUUUCUAGUCACAGGCACCUUCUCCUGAUAAGUGGGAAAGCAGACCAUUGGAGGGUUUUAAGCUGCUCUUCAAAAAACAGCCAUGAGAUACAUCACAUUGCUAAUUCAUCUGUAUUCCUUACAUUUUCCAGUUAUUGCCUGACUGGACAACUCCCAACUCCCUGGUAUGCAUUGCACAAACCAUUGCUAAUGCAAUGCAAGAUGUGGACUGCUGGAUUUGUCUUCCUUGAGCUCAGUCCACUCCGGGUCAUGGGGACCCCCUGGUGCAUCCUGUAUCAGACUUUACCCAAGUCCCUGAUGGGGACUGGGUCCCUAAGUGAGACCUUCGGGCUCGCAACCUUAUGUACCACAUAUGCAUCAGUCACUUCCCUCAUGAGAACUUUUCUAAAAUUGCCUGUCUUAUGCUUCCUCUCUCCACCAGUACUGUUCUAUAUUGGAUCCAGGGCACCCAGUAGAUACCUGAAUACUUUGAAAUGACUUUGCCUCCACCCUCAAGGCAACUCCCUAUGUGUGUUCAGCAGUCCACCAGAUACCCAGUGGAAGAAAUUAAAUCCAUGGUUGACUAUUCAUUUCUGGAGAGAUCCUGGAUGGAAUGAACUGGAUUCAAAGUUGGUUACUAUUUCUAGACUAAUAGCUCUGUCAGCUACUACACUCACAAUGAAGGUGAAAGACUUAAGAGUAACCCCAGUUCCUGGAAGUCUGGAUAUACAACUAAGGGGUAGAGUUCUUGUGUCCUGCAGCUGGCUGGCAAUAAAGAAGAAAAACCUCUGCAUCAGCAGAAAAGCUUCCUGGCACCAGAAUCCACUAUCCACCAGGGAGGAAGACAAUCAAGGACAUCUAACCUGUGGAUUCCCUUAUGUCACCAUCCUCCUCCCUGCAAACAGUCUCACAAAGCCAAACGCAGGCUGGUGGGAAAGCGCCGACCAGCAAGGCCACAGGCUCCCCCUCCCUAUAAGCAGCCAUAUUCCUCACAACCUUUAAAACCCCUUAUCCACUUCUUAAUGGGGUGCCAGCAGUUCCUAAGGCACUAUCCUGCUGCUGCUCCCUUUGCCUAGCAAAAAAAAAAGUAAGCUUUUUUUUCUUUUCAUUUUCACCCAAAACUCUGUUCUCGUUAUUUGGAUUGGUACUGAGUUCAGAGACCGAACUUUCGGUAACAUAACUAGAAAGCUCAGGAGAAGCAUAAGUCCUGUAGAGGAUAACAGCACUAUAAUUACAAUUUUCAUUGGAGACCUGAUCUAGCUAUUUCAUUCUAAACUUCUGAUUCCAACUAGAAGAUAAAUCUUAAGUGGGCAAUAGAAACUUCUGGGCCAUACAUGAUGUCAUUCACUUCUCCAAAUAUAGGACUUUUAUAGGAAAUGCUUUCAUAUCACAUUUCUGGUCCUCUAAUACCUUAGAUCAGCCUCUCUAGAAUCAUGCUCUGUGAUGGGGAUUCUCCUUCAAGUGUUUUAUAAAGAUGAUGCUCUGAAAGAAAAGUGUUAGGGAAGAAAGGAAGUAGGACAGGGAGGGAAAAGAGCUAAGGAAGAAUGUGUUUUUGCUAGAAUGUAAUGUGAACCCAUCCACACAGGUAUUUCUGGAACACGAAUUUUACCAUUGAGUAAAUUUUAUGAUCAGACAAGAAGAAUGCCCUUUUGUUAGCCCUGCUCAGCAUCCCAGUAUCAAUCAGUCAUUGACUGUAGGCUGUUUUAGUGAGCAAUUGUUGGAGGGACGGAGGAGAAGGAUUAUAAAAUCAUCUAGCCUUGAAUGCUUACUCAAGUUGAUCCAAGGACAAUUCUCAAGAGUGCAGCUGUGACCCAGCAGCAGCCUACCAUCAUGUCAGAUUAAAUGAAGAGGGGUAUAGCCAGCUAGGGGGAUGGGUGCACCAGGCCACUAAAGGAAAUCUGGGACAGAGUCUCCUAUACUAAAUAAAUAUGGCAUGAUAUUCCUGUUAUGCUUAGCCACUUUUAAAGAGGAAACAAAAAUAAUAAAG
Molecule: long non-coding RNA, 9477 nt
Organism: Equus caballus (horse)
Lineage: Eukaryota; Metazoa; Chordata; Mammalia; Perissodactyla; Equidae
Source: Ensembl